GACGAACGCUGGCGGCGUGCUUAACACAUGCAAGUCGAACGGAAAGGCCCUGCUUUUGUGGGGUGCUCGAGUGGCGAACGGGUGAGUAACACGUGAGUAACCUGCCCUUGACUUUGGGAUAACUUCAGGAAACUGGGGCUAAUACCGGAUAGGAGCUCCUGCUGCAUGGUGGGGGUUGGAAAGUUUCGGCGGUUGGGGAUGGACUCGCGGCUUAUCAGCUUGUUGGUGGGGUAGUGGCUUACCAAGGCUUUGACGGGUAGCCGGCCUGAGAGGGUGACCGGCCACAUUGGGACUGAGAUACGGCCCAGACUCCUACGGGAGGCAGCAGUGGGGAAUAUUGCACAAUGGGCGGAAGCCUGAUGCAGCAACGCCGCGUGCGGGAUGACGGCCUUCGGGUUGUAAACCGCUUUCGCCUGUGACGAAGCGUGAGUGACGGUAAUGGGUAAAGAAGCACCGGCUAACUACGUGCCAGCAGCCGCGGUGAUACGUAGGGCGCGAGCGUUGUCCGGAUUUAUUGGGCGUAAAGGGCUCGUAGGUGGUUGAUCGCGUCGGAAGUGUAAUCUUGGGGCUUAACCCUGAGCGUGCUUUCGAUACGGGUUGACUUGAGGAAGGUAGGGGAGAAUGGAAUUCCUGGUGGAGCGGUGGAAUGCGCAGAUAUCAGGAGGAACACCAGUGGCGAAGGCGGUUCUCUGGGCCUUUCCUGACGCUGAGGAGCGAAAGCGUGGGGAGCGAACAGGCUUAGAUACCCUGGUAGUCCACGCUGUAAACGGUGGGUACUAGGUGUGGGGUCCAUUCCACGGGUUCCGUGCCGUAGCUAACGCUUUAAGUACCCCGCCUGGGGAGUACGGCCGCAAGGCUAAAACUCAAAGGAAUUGACGGGGCCCCGCACAAGCGGCGGAGCAUGCGGAUUAAUUCGAUGCAACGCGUAGAACCUUACCUGGGUUUGACAUGGAUCGGGAGUGCUCAGAGAUGGGUGUGCCUCUUUCGGGGUCGGUUCACAGGUGGUGCAUGGCUGUCGUCAGCUCGUGUCGUGAGAUGUUGGGUUAAGUCCCGCAACGAGCGCAACCCUUGUUCACUGUUGCCAGCACGUUAUGGUGGGGACUCAGUGGAGACCGCCGGGGUCAACUCGGAGGAAGGUGGGGAUGACGUCAAGUCAUCAUGCCCCUUAUGUCCAGGGCUUCACGCAUGCUACAAUGGCUGGUACAGAGAGUGGCGAGCCUGUGAGGGUGAGCGAAUCUCGGAAAGCCGGUCUCAGUUCGGAUUGGGGUCUGCAACUCGACCUCAUGAAGUCGGAGUCGCUAGUAAUCGCAGAUCAGCAACGCUGCGGUGAAUACGUUCCCGGG
RNAcentral lists this ribosomal RNA (1343 nucleotides) under uncultured bacterium. RNAcentral's name for it is "16S ribosomal RNA". It matches the Rfam family "Bacterial small subunit ribosomal RNA", at positions 28 to 1378 of the family's 1533-position model. The record is from RNAcentral.